This is a non-coding RNA of Ixodes scapularis (black-legged tick), 73 nucleotides long. The record is from Rfam. NCBI's taxonomy places the organism in Eukaryota, Metazoa, Arthropoda, Arachnida, Ixodida, Ixodidae.
GCCGGGAUGGUCAAUUGGUUAAGGCGUCGCCCCGGACAGGCUAAGGUUGCGGGUUCAAUUUCCACUCCAGGCA